UUUCCCGUUUGCCCAUCACACUUCCUACAAUUAAUUGACUGUGCUUAUGGGCUGGAUUUAAAACGGCCAUCAUUGGCAGAGGAAGGAGGUUUUGCUAUCCCUCCUCCUGCAGGAAAUGGCUGAACAGAGAAAA
Small nucleolar RNA from Ochotona princeps (American pika), 133 nucleotides. RefSeq annotates it as small nucleolar RNA SNORA29. The record is from RefSeq and is a predicted model, not a curated record. Lineage: Eukaryota; Metazoa; Chordata; Mammalia; Lagomorpha; Ochotonidae. The transcript has a single exon.